This is a long non-coding RNA of Gossypium arboreum, 689 nucleotides long. RefSeq lists it as uncharacterized. The transcript has 3 exons. The record is from RefSeq and is a predicted model, not a curated record. NCBI's taxonomy places the organism in Eukaryota, Viridiplantae, Streptophyta, Magnoliopsida, Malvales, Malvaceae.
AUAGCCAUAUAUGCCUUACAUAUUAAUAUUAUAAUAGUUAAUGGGUAAGGUGAAUGAAUUAAAAAAAAAAAGAAAAGAAAAAGGGACCAUACAUCCUUGCCUGUUCUUGCCGAAUGUGGGAAAAAGAAAGAGGAAAGAUAUUUUGAGGAUUUCGGCCAAGGAGAAAACUCAGAAUCUAAGGUUGAAAAAAAAGGGCUCUUUGAUAUUUGGCCUUGGUGAUUCUAAUUGAAGCUCAAGAGCAUAGAGGGGCAAAUUCGGAUAAGGGAAAAGAGAAAGUAAUCGAAUAGCCGUUGUAAUCGUUCGGUAACAUUCGAGGUUUCGUGCUGGUGUUAUGUUCGAGUUUUAUACCUCGCAGGCCAAGUGUUAGUGAAUUUGAUAAAGUAUAUGACUACGAGAUCCUACGCUAUGAUGAUAAAUUGAACUCCUAUUACACAUUAAGUGAUUCAGGUAUGUGAUAUAUAUAUAUUAUAUGUGAGAUUGAUCUGACGGGAAUUAAGAAUGUGUAAUGAGUAACAUAUGAAAAGAUGUUGUAAAUUCAUAUGUAUAUUUGUAUAUGUGUGUAUUCAGUUAUUAUGCAAAGUUACAAGAUAGUUUUCGAUAUGCCAUUUAACUAUGAAUUUUGAAAGUAAGUGUGGGUAAGAAAUGAUACACUAGUGAAAUUUGAAAGAAUUAAAGUUAAUCCGGAAGCU